UCCUCGAUCUGCUGCGGGCAGAUGAAGUGGAUGUGGCUGUCGAUGCCGCCGGCGGUGACGAUCAUGCCUUCGCCGGCGAUGAUCUCGGUGGCGCCGCCGAUGGCCAUGGUCACGCCGGGCUGGAUGUCGGGGUUGCCGGCCUUGCCGAUGCCAGCGAUCUUGCCGCCCUUGAUACCGAUGUCGGCCUUGACGAUGCCCCAGUGGUCGACGAUGAGGGCGUUGGUGAUGACGGUGUCCAUGACGUCGGCGUGGGCGCGCUGCGACUGGCCCAUGCCGUCGCGGA
RNAcentral lists this small RNA (283 nucleotides) under Herbaspirillum sp. YR522. RNAcentral describes it as "5' ureB small RNA". It matches the Rfam family "5' ureB small RNA". The record is from Rfam by way of RNAcentral. Lineage: Bacteria; Pseudomonadati; Pseudomonadota; Betaproteobacteria; Burkholderiales; Oxalobacteraceae.